RNAcentral lists this transfer RNA (75 nucleotides) under Chloroflexota bacterium. RNAcentral describes it as "Chloroflexi bacterium tRNA-Lys". It matches the Rfam family "tRNA". Rfam says of the family: Transfer RNA (tRNA) molecules are approximately 80 nucleotides in length. Their secondary structure includes four short double-helical elements and three loops (D, anti-codon, and T loops). RNAcentral also lists the same sequence under 3 other names. The record is from RNAcentral. Lineage: Bacteria; Bacillati; Chloroflexota.
GGGCCCGUAGCUCAAUGGCAGAGCAAGUGACUCUUAAUCACUGGGUUGAAGGUUCAAGUCCUUCCGGGCUCACCA